GAAUUUUAUAAAAUUAUUAAUUUUUUUUAUUUAUAAAUUUUAUUUAAUUGGGAGGAUUUUUAAAUUUAAAGAACUUUAAAUUUUUAAUUAAAACAUUAAUUUAUGAUAUUUAUAUAAAUUAAUAAAUAUUAUUUAAAUAAAAAUUAAUUACCUUAGGGAUAACAGCAUAAAAUUUUUUUAUAGAUCUUAUAUAUAAAAAUAUUUGU
Molecule: ribosomal RNA, 206 nt
Filed under: Odontomachus meinerti
Lineage: Eukaryota; Metazoa; Arthropoda; Insecta; Hymenoptera; Formicidae
Description: partial large subunit ribosomal RNA
Source: RNAcentral